RNAcentral lists this ribosomal RNA (502 nucleotides) under uncultured bacterium. RNAcentral's name for it is "partial 16S ribosomal RNA". It matches the Rfam family "Bacterial small subunit ribosomal RNA", at positions 28 to 523 of the family's 1533-position model. The record is from RNAcentral.
GAUGAACGCUAGCGGCAGGCCUAACACAUGCAAGUCGAGGGGCAGCACAGAAACAGCAAUGUUUUGGUGGCGACCGGCGGACGGGUGCGUAACGCGUAUGCAACCUACCUUUAACAGGGGGAUAACGGAGAGAAAUUUCCACUAAUACCCCAUAACAUCGAUCAAGGCAUCUUGAUUGGUUGAACACUCCGGUGGUUAAAGAUGGGCAUGCGUUGUAUUAGGUAGUUGGUGAGGUAAUGGCUCACCAAGCCUACGAUACAUAGGGGGACUGAGAGGUUAGCCCCCCACACUGGUACUGAGACACGGACCAGACUCCUACGGGAGGCAGCAGUGAGGGAUAUUGGUCAACGGGGGCAACCCUGAACCAGCCAUGCCGCGUGCAGGAAGACGGCUCUAUGAGUUGUAAACUGCUUUUAAACAGGGAUAAAGCACAGUAUGUAUACUGUGUUGAAGGUACUGUAAGAAUAAGGAUCGGCUAACUCCGUGCCAGCCGCCGCAGUAA